This 253-nucleotide ribosomal RNA is filed under the name uncultured bacterium. RNAcentral's name for it is "partial 16S ribosomal RNA". It matches the Rfam family "Bacterial small subunit ribosomal RNA", at positions 524 to 776 of the family's 1533-position model. The record is from RNAcentral.
UACAGAGGUGGCAAGCGUUGUUCGGAAUUAUUGGGCGUAAAGGGCGCGUAGGCGGCUAGAUGUGUCAAAGGUGAAAUCCCUCGGCUCAACUGAGGAACUGCCUUUGAAACUGUCUGGCUUGAGGCCGGGAGAGGGUAGCGGAAUUCCCAGUGUAGCGGUGAAAUGCGUAGAUAUUGGGAGGAACACCAGUGGCGAAGGCGGCUACCUGGACCGGUUCUGACGCUGAGGCGCGAAAGCGUGGGUAGCAAACAGG